RNAcentral lists this unclassified non-coding RNA (797 nucleotides) under Rasamsonia frigidotolerans. RNAcentral's name for it is "sequence contains 28S rRNA gene". It matches the Rfam family "Eukaryotic large subunit ribosomal RNA", at positions 95 to 909 of the family's 3401-position model. Lineage: Eukaryota; Fungi; Ascomycota; Eurotiomycetes; Eurotiales; Trichocomaceae. The record is from RNAcentral.
GAAGCGGCAAGAGCUCAAAUUUGAAAUCUGGCCCCUCCCGGGGUCCGAGUUGUAAUUUGGAGAGGAUGCUUCGGGUGCGGCCCCCGUCUAAGUGCCCUGGAACGGGCCGUCAUAGAGGGUGAGAAUCCCGUCUGGGAUGGGUGGUCGCGCCCGUGUGAAGCUCCUUCGACGAGUCGAGUUGUUUGGGAAUGCAGCUCUAAAUGGGUGGUAUAUUUCAUCUAAAGCUAAAUAUUGGCCGGAGACCGAUAGCGCACAAGUAGAGUGAUCGAAAGAUGAAAAGCACUUUGAAAAGAGAGUUAAACAGCACGUGAAAUUGUUGAAAGGGAAGCGCUUGCGACCAGACUCGCCCGGGAGGGCUCAGCCGGCACUCGUGCCGGUGCACUCCCCCCCGGGCGGGCCAGCGUCGGUUGGGGCGGUCGCUUAAAGGCCCCCGGAAUGUAGCACCCUCCGGGGUGUCUUAUAGCCGGGGGUGUAAUGCGGCCAGCCCCGACCGAGGAACGCGCUUCGGCUCGGACGCUGGCAUAAUGGUCGUAAGCGGCCCGUCUUGAAACACGGACCAAGGAGUCUAACAUCUACGCGAGUGUUCGGGUGUCAAACCCGUCCGCGCAGUGAAAGCGAACGGAGGUGGGAACCCCCCGGGGUGCACCAUCGACCGAUCCUGAUGUCUUCGGAUGGAUUUGAGUAAGAGCGUAGCUGUUGGGACCCGAAAGGUGGUGAUCUAUGCCUGAAUAGGGCGAAGCCAGAGGAAACUCUGGUGGAGGCUCGCAGCGGUUCUGACGUGCAAAUCGAUCGUCGAA